This 261-nucleotide long non-coding RNA is filed under the name Setaria viridis. RNAcentral's name for it is "long non-coding RNA (SVIR_LNC003095)". The record is from RNAcentral. Lineage: Eukaryota; Viridiplantae; Streptophyta; Magnoliopsida; Poales; Poaceae.
GGGGUUAGAAGAUGAAUGUUACUUUUACCCCCCUAUCCCAGUUCGUAAUUGAACCUGGGACUAAAGGGGGAUUUUGUCCCGCAAUUGGGACAAAAGGCCCCUCAAUUUAUUCGGGUUGCAAAUUGAAACUGGGAUAAAAGGGUACGUUCCGUGCGGGAAUCGAAAAAUAUCCUUUUAUCCCGGUUCCAGUUUGCAACCGGGAUAAAAGGGGGGCCUUUUGCCCCGGUUGCUAUUGGCACCCGGGACAAAGGGGCCUUCUCC